UACAGAGACUGCAAGCGUUAUUCGGAUUCACUGGGCGUAAAGGGUGCGCAGGCGGCUAGGUGUGUCAGAUGUGAAAUCCCGAGGCUCAACCUCGGAACUGCGUCUGAAACUACUUGGCUAGAGUACUGGAGAGGGUAACGGAAUUCACGGUGUAGCAGUGAAAUGCGUAGAUAUCGUGAGGAACACCAGUGGCGAAGGCGGCUUCCUGGACUAAAACUGACACUGAGGCACGAAAGCGUGGGUAGCAAACAGG
RNAcentral lists this ribosomal RNA (253 nucleotides) under uncultured bacterium. RNAcentral describes it as "partial 16S ribosomal RNA". It matches the Rfam family "Bacterial small subunit ribosomal RNA", at positions 524 to 776 of the family's 1533-position model. The record is from RNAcentral.